Molecule: long non-coding RNA, 1864 nt
Organism: Xiphophorus maculatus (southern platyfish)
Lineage: Eukaryota; Metazoa; Chordata; Actinopteri; Cyprinodontiformes; Poeciliidae
Exons: 3
Source: RefSeq, a predicted model, not a curated record
GUUACACCAUGAAUGCUUUGUAUUAUGGGAUGUAUUACGGGAUGCAUGGGUACACAACAAGAAGAGACUAAAUACAAACUGCACUGUUUUUUGAAGUUUCAGACAUUUUACCAGUAAACGUUUGCAACUAUUUAACAGCCAGAUUUACACCAUGUUUACAUGUUUAGAUUGCAACCAGCAUCUCUUCAGUAUGAUCAGUUUUUGACUUUCAUUAGAAAUGCAAAUCUUCCCCUUAGUAACAACUAUUUUUUUACAGCACUUUGUUUGUGCCAAAUGUGAGAAACCUUUCCUCGGUCACCGCCAUUAUGAGAGAAAAGGUUUGGCUUACUGUGAGACGCAUUACAAUCAGCUCUUUGGGGACGUGUGUUAUCACUGCAACCGUGUGAUUGAAGGCGAUGUUGUGUCUGCUCUCAACAAAGCCUGGUGUGUCACUUGUUUCUCCUGCUCCACCUGCAACACCAAGCUCACUCUCAAGUAAGUCUUAAUAUGUUCAUUGAUGCAAACCAUAAAAUCUAGUCACAUGCAACUCUUCCACCUCAUGUUUGUUGUGCUCUUACUUUUCUUUAGCACUUUUCACGUGCCUUAAAACAAGAAGAGUUUUAAUGGGAAUGGCUUCUAUAUUACAACUUGCAUCUUCACUCAGAAUAGUGUCCGUGUUUGUAAUUAACUGCUGAAUAUCAAAUCCUUUGAGCUUUAAUGCCUCUGUAUUAUUCAAUUGACUAAUUGUAAUUUUUAGAAAAAUCUUCAAGUCUUCAAAGUAUUGCAUAAAAUUGGUAUCAUUAAUGAAUAUAACAAAUCAAAUUGUGAAAUUAACAGUGGUGUAAAAUUCAUGGGUUUUGUGUUAUAUUUCAAAAUCUAAUAAUGUAUGCUGUCUGAAUGUGGUUAUGUAUUGUAAAUUCCUAGAAUUGUUGAAUAUUUCUGUAUUAAUUAACAUAACAUUCAAAGGUGGACGACUAAAAGGAAAGCAAAUAGAACUGUUUUUUAGCUAGUAUUUUAACUUGUUUGAUGAAAAUGUCACUAACAAACCCUCAAGUUGCUUUGAUUAUUUUUAAACUUGAGUGUGUUUUGAAAUGACAGCCACACAAGAUAAGGUUUCUGUGAUAAUUUUACUAUUGGAACACUUUACUUACAUUUCAUUUGACUGGGCAUUUAAUUAGGAUGGAAUGAAAACAUACAGUUUACUACAUCUUAUGGACAGUGUUGAGCUGCUUCAUUAAAGAUCAACAUCUUAAGUUUAAAGGAAUUAAUAAUCAUGAGCUUAUGAUCAAUCUUUUUUCGCCACAACAUGACUUCAGUGCUCUGUGGUGUUAAGUUUCUUAGAGGUCAUAAUGUGACAGUUUUACUUAUGACUGUACUCUUAUGAAUUAAUGUUUGAAAAUUUUGAGCUAUAAAUCUCCUGUGUGGUAAACACUAGAAACUCUUUAGUGAUCUAGUAAAGUUUAGUAGAUAAUCAGUUUCCAUCGUUGCAAACUAAAACUGAAUUUUUUUGUGUUUUUUUUUUUUUAAUUAAAUGGUUAUGAAUUAUAAUUACAUUAAAAGCUCCAUGCAUAUGCUAAACACUUUAAGUAGAAGUCAAAUCACUGACUAACAUGCUUGAGCUGUAGUUCAGCUGUGAAUUAAUAUAUUAUACAGAGGGUGAAAAAUGUUGCACUCUGGGACUUGAGUCCAUAUCCUGGAAGCCAGAACCAACAGUUGAGGUGUAAUGAAAACAUAUUUCAACACUUGAUCAAGACAUCUGCUUAUCAAAGCCAUACAAACAUGGAAAAGGGAUAAAAAAAAAAGAUUUGGAGCACUCAGUGUACCUUAGCACAUUCAAUAUACAGUAUUUAACUAUGUUACUAAAGAUAACUGUUAACAGAGGCUG